RNAcentral lists this long non-coding RNA (207 nucleotides) under Musa acuminata (dwarf banana). RNAcentral describes it as "long non-coding RNA (MACU_LNC009497)". The record is from RNAcentral. Lineage: Eukaryota; Viridiplantae; Streptophyta; Magnoliopsida; Zingiberales; Musaceae.
UUUUAAAAAUUUUAAAACAUUUAGAUUAGUCCUUUAAUACCAUGAACUAUUUUUUAUUUUAAAACAAAAAUAGUAUAUCACAUAUUAUAAAAUAUUUUCUCUGACCUGAAUAUUUACAUAGUAUUUUGGACUCAUUUAGAAAAUCAAAUAUUAAAACAUAUUAUGAUAUUUAUGUGAAAAAUAAAAAAAGGGAUAAAAAUAAAAAUU